UUUAAAGAGAGUUUGAUCCUGGCUCAGGACGAACGCUGGCGGCGUGCCUAAUACAUGCAAGUCGAACGAAUGGAGGAAGAGCUUGCUCUUCCAAAGUUAGUGGCGGACGGGUGAGUAACACGUGGGCAACCUGCCUGUAAGUUGGGGAUAACUCCGGGAAACCGGGGCUAAUACCGAAUGAUAAAGUGUGGCGCAUGCCA
Molecule: ribosomal RNA, 200 nt
Filed under: Listeria monocytogenes
Lineage: Bacteria; Bacillati; Bacillota; Bacilli; Caryophanales; Listeriaceae
Description: partial 16S ribosomal RNA
Rfam family: Bacterial small subunit ribosomal RNA
Source: RNAcentral